Molecule: ribosomal RNA, 503 nt
Filed under: uncultured bacterium
Lineage: Bacteria
Description: partial 16S ribosomal RNA
Rfam family: Bacterial small subunit ribosomal RNA
Source: RNAcentral
AUUGAACGCUGGCGGCAGGCUUAACACAUGCAAGUCGAGCGGGGUGAUGGUGCUUGCACUAUCACUUAGCGGCGGACGGGUGAGUAAUGCUUAGGAAUCUGCCUAUUAGUGGGGGACAACAUCUCGAAAGGGAUGCUAAUACCGCAUACGUCCUACGGGGGAACGCAGGGGAUCACUUGUGACCUUGCGCUAAUAGAUGAGCCUAAGUCGGAUUAGCUAGUUGGUGGGGUAAAGGCCUACCAAGGCGACGAUCUGUAGCGGGUCUGAGAGGAUGGUCCGCCACACUGGGACUGAGACACGGCCCAGACUCCUACGGGAGGCAGCAGUGGGGAAUAUUGGACAAUGGGGGGAACCCUGAUCCAGCCAUGCCGCGUGUGUGAAGAAGGCCUUAUGGUUGUAAAGCACUUUAAGCGAGGAGGAGGCUCUUUUGGUUAAUACCCAAGAUGAGUGGACGUUACUCGCAGAAUAAGCACCGGCUAACUCUGUGCCAGCCGCCGCGGUAA